UCAGAUCCUGGGUCUGCCCAGCCUCCCUUCCCUGCCAAGGCUGAGAAAGGUUUGCAUCAUUUCUUUCCUGAUUCCACACUGAGACUUGCCUCUUGUGACUCAGAUUUACUGGAUGACUCAGACUCUGCCCGGGACUGCUUCUGUGGGCCUGGAGCCCCACUCCUCUUCUCCAGAAGCAUUGGAAUGACACCAGAGAUCUGAAGAGCACACGU
Vicugna pacos (alpaca) is the source of this 212-nucleotide non-coding RNA. NCBI's taxonomy places the organism in Eukaryota, Metazoa, Chordata, Mammalia, Artiodactyla, Camelidae. The record is from RefSeq and is a predicted model, not a curated record.